Molecule: long non-coding RNA, 226 nt
Filed under: Podarcis lilfordi (Lilford's wall lizard)
Lineage: Eukaryota; Metazoa; Chordata; Lepidosauria; Squamata; Lacertidae
Source: RNAcentral
AAGAAGAAGAAGAAGAGUUUGGAUUUGAUAUCCCGCCUUUAAGGAGUCUCAAAGCGGCUAACAUUCUCCUUUCCCUUCCUCCCCCACAACAAACACUCUGUGAGGUGAGUGGGGCUGAGAGACUUCAGAGAAGUGUGACUGGCCCAAGGUCACCCAGCAGCUGCAUGUGGAGGAGCGGGGAAGCGAACCCGGUUCCCCAGAUUACGAGUCCACCGCUCUUAACCAC